AAAGGUAAGCUACUAAGAGCGAAUGGUGGAUGCCUUGACUGGUAAAGGCGAUGAAGGACGUACUAGACUGCGAUAAGCUACGGGGAGCUGUCAAGAAGCUUUGAUCCGUAGAUUUCCGAAUGGGGCAACCCAAUGUAUAGAGAUAUACAUUACCUAUAUAGGAGCGAACGAGGGGAAUUGAAACAUCUUAGUACCCUCAGGAAAAGAAAUCAAUAGAGAUUGCGUCAGUAGCGGCGAGCGAAAGCGCAAGAGGGCAAACCCAGUGCUUGCACUGGGGGUUGUAGGACUGCAAUGUGCAAGAGGUAAGUUUAGCAGAACAUUCUGGAAAGUAUAGCCAUAGAGGGUGAUAGUCCCGUAUGCGAAAAACAAACCUUAGCUAGCAGUAUCCUGAGUAGGGCGGGACACGAGGAAUCCUGUCUGAAUCCGGGUCGACCACGAUCCAACCCU
Molecule: ribosomal RNA, 447 nt
Filed under: Salmonella enterica subsp. enterica serovar Typhimurium
Lineage: Bacteria; Pseudomonadati; Pseudomonadota; Gammaproteobacteria; Enterobacterales; Enterobacteriaceae
Description: partial 23S ribosomal RNA
Rfam family: Bacterial large subunit ribosomal RNA
Source: RNAcentral